CCCGAGUUUACAACUCCCAAACCCCUGUGAACAUACCACUUGUUGCCUCGGCGGAUCAGCCCGCUCCCGGUAAAACGGGACGGCCCGCCAGAGGACCCCUAAACUCUGUUUCUAUAUGUAACUUCUGAGUAAAACCAUAAAUAAAUCA
RNAcentral lists this unclassified non-coding RNA (148 nucleotides) under soil metagenome. Its description in RNAcentral is "partial internal transcribed spacer 1". The record is from RNAcentral.